GACGAACGCUGGCGGCGUGCUUAACACAUGCAAGUCGAACGGAAAGGCCCUGCUUUUGUGGGGUGCUCGAGUGGCGAACGGGUGAGUAACACGUGAGUAACCUGCCCUUGACUUUGGGAUAACUUCAGGAAACUGGGGCUAAUACCGGAUAGGAGCUCCUGCUGCAUGGUGGGGGUUGGAAAGUUUCGGCGGGUGGGGAUGGAUGAGCGGCUUAUCAGCUUGUUGGUGGGGUAGUGGCUUACCAAGGCUUUGACGGGUAGCCGGCCUGAGAGGGUGACCGGCCACAUUGGGACUGAGAUACGGCCCAGACUGCUACGGGAGGCAGCAGUGGGGAAUAUUGCACAAUGGGCGGAAGCCUGAUGCAGCAACGCCGCGUGCGGGAUGACGGCCUUCGGGUUGUAAACCGCUUUCGCCUGUGACGAAGCGUGAGUGACGGUAAUGGGUAAAGAAGCACCGGCUAACUACGUG
This 468-nucleotide ribosomal RNA is filed under the name uncultured bacterium. Its description in RNAcentral is "partial 16S ribosomal RNA". It matches the Rfam family "Bacterial small subunit ribosomal RNA", at positions 28 to 507 of the family's 1533-position model. The record is from RNAcentral.